AAUAAAACAGAAAGGUUUCUAAGUGCCAAACUAUUAUGGCUUGAGUUAAAUGUAACUCGGAGCAUUAAAAUAACUUCAGAGCCGGCGGGACGUGGGCAUGUGAGAGCAGCCCUACCGGCCGCGUCCUCCCGGGGGCCGACGACAUGGACCGACAGGGACCCGCAGGCAGCGCUGGAGCUCAGGUGAAUGCAGGCGGAGCCCGAAGGCGCUGGGGCCCCGGGCUCAGCACCAGGGCUGGGUGCUGCCAGCCCGGCUCGGGGCGCCCCGCACCGCUCCGCACCCCGCGCGCCUGCCCCGGGGGCGGGCAGGAGCCUUGCGAAGGGAAGUGUCAUUUGUACAAAUUGCCAGUCUGUGCCAGCUUGGGAGAGACCUUACAAGGGAAACCUGGAGCCUUCCCUGCUUUUCAUGUGAGCGGAUGCCCCUUUUAUUUCUGAGCAAGGAGUAAGUGGAGAAAAAAGGAGCCCCUGUCAGCCUCUCGGAGACAAAUUGCUUCCUGCAGCCAGAGGUGGCUCAGCUCUAACAAUCACCCACUGCCAGAGAAUGAUUUACUGGGCCAGUGUGUGAAAAGUGCAUGGGACUCUGCUGCUCAGGCAGCAGAAAAUACCUUACUGCCUAAAUGAAAUGACCCAACCGACGCACAGGGUUAAAGAUAUAUGUGGUGCUCCUGUUCCC
Long non-coding RNA from Oxyura jamaicensis (ruddy duck), 672 nucleotides. RefSeq lists it as uncharacterized. The transcript is spliced from 3 exons. The record is from RefSeq and is a predicted model, not a curated record. Lineage: Eukaryota; Metazoa; Chordata; Aves; Anseriformes; Anatidae.